UAGCCCAAUGAUUAUAAAGAGACACGUUAUUAAGAGGACUCAAUGCUGGAAUUCUUUACCUUCUUUCUUUUCUGUACUUCUAUGUUCGCCAGUCAAAGAAAAAAAAAAAAAAGGGAUA
Molecule: small nucleolar RNA, 118 nt
Organism: Globicephala melas (long-finned pilot whale)
Lineage: Eukaryota; Metazoa; Chordata; Mammalia; Artiodactyla; Delphinidae
Product: small nucleolar RNA SNORD97
Source: RefSeq, a predicted model, not a curated record